CAGAGUUCGUGCCCUCACGGGUAGAUCUCCCACCCUGUGUUAUUAUACCUUUGUUGCUUUGGCGGGCCGCCCUCGGCUACCGGCCCCGGCUGGUACGCGCCCGCCGGAGGACCCAAACUCUUUGUUUCUGCAAGCGGAUUCUUCUGAGUGGCUAUAAGCAACAAAUAAAUCA
RNAcentral lists this unclassified non-coding RNA (172 nucleotides) under uncultured Leotiomycetes. Its description in RNAcentral is "sequence contains ITS1". Lineage: Eukaryota; Fungi; Ascomycota; Leotiomycetes. The record is from RNAcentral.